GAUGAAGAACGUAGCGAAAUGCGAUAAGUAAUGUGAAUUGCAGAAUUCAGUGAAUCAUCGAAUCUUUGAACGCACAUUGCGCCCGUCAGUAUUCUGGCGGGCAUGCCUGUUCGAGCGUCAUUACGCCCCUCAAGUCCCCUGUGGACUUGGUGUUGGGGAUCGGCGAGGCUGGUUUUCCAGCACAGCCGUCCCUUAAAUUAAUUGGCGGUCUCGCCGUGGCCCUCCUCAGCGCAGUAGUAAAACACUCGCAACAGGAGCCCGGCGCGGUCCACUGCCGUAAAACCCCCCAACUUUUUAUAGUUGACCUCGAAUCAGGUAGGACUACCCGCUGAACUUAAGCAUAUCAAUAAGCGGAGGA
RNAcentral lists this unclassified non-coding RNA (358 nucleotides) under soil metagenome. Its description in RNAcentral is "partial contains 5.8S ribosomal RNA, internal transcribed spacer 2, and large subunit ribosomal RNA". The stretch from base 1 to 120 matches the Rfam family "5.8S ribosomal RNA", at positions 35 to 154 of the family's 154-position model. The record is from RNAcentral.